CAUUAAUUCUCGCAAAACCACAAGCCAGUAAAAUAAACUCAGUUUAUUUUUUUUUAGGAAUUUCUGGAUUUUUAGACUCUGAUGUGUAAUGGAUCUUCAUAGCGAUUCAUUAUGAUAAAAAGUCAUAACACACCAAAGAGUCUUAACACUUCAAAAAUUCCUAAAACAAAAACUGAGUACCCCAAUGGCUUGUGGGUAGGGGGGUAGUUGGCACCCAAUGUGCCCUACCCCCCAACCCACUUUGGACCACCUUGGCACUACCCACAGGGAGUAAUGGGGCCACUUUGAAUCUCCAUUAUUCCCUAUGACACAAAAAAUGAAAUCACUCUAAAUUCAAAACUUCCUUUAAACAUUACCCCUUUGCCUAAUCCCUCUAGGGUUUGGGUGGUAGUUGCCACCCAUUGGGCAUUAUCACCCCACCCACUCUGGUGCCACCUGGCCCUUUAAAUUUCCCCCUAAUUGAUUCAAAUCCAAAUCAAAUUGAAUACAAUUUGAAUCAAAUCUGGGCUGAUUUGAGGGGGCAAGAUUCAAGGUCGAAUCAAAUCUGGCUGAUUCCAUUUGACCUUGAAUCAAAUAGCAAAAAAUGAUUUGUGCACAUUUCUACCCUAGAGAGUGUGUACCACACACUGAGAAACUAUUUCCGCCUAGAGUCAACUAGGCGCCUCUACAACACACAGGUAUUUCCGGGCAGACCAUCAUUCGUGUCAGAGUGUGGUCUGUAGGCACAUAAUGCAGCCACAUUCCUGAAGCUAAGCAGGUUUAGGUCUGUUCUGUUCCUGGAAUAGAGAUUGCCAUAUAACUGGAUCUCCAAUAUUGUGUUGCUCAAUGAAGAAAACAAAAAGGGAGUCCGAACAUUGCUUUUAAAAAAAAUGUUCUCGGGCUUUUGCAUCAGCUUGACUGCAGGAAACAGGGACUGCCAUGUGCAUAAAAACUACAACCUGCUUCAGAACAAUUGGGUUGUUGUAAGGGAGGAGGGGGAAAGAAGCCAGGAGCUUUGUCUGGGCUCUCACUCUCCUCAGAGCUUUAUUGAGUGUGGGAUGCUUUGCCCUUUUCUCCUCCCUUGUGCAACUGCUCUGAUUCUUCCGUUUCUGCUUGUGUGUUCUGGGGAGGCGGGGAGGGGGCAGCGAAUGUUCUGCACAAUGCAGUGAAUAUCUCAGAGGACAGGUCAAGCAUUCUUAAGCAGCUGCAGCCUGAGAGAUUUUCUCUUUGAUUCCCAAGUGGGGCACAAAAGCAAGAGACCCUCCCUGACCCUCCCACCGGCACUGCUACACUCUGCUAAACAAAAGCCAAGAAAGAAAAGGCUGUGAUGACAGGCAAUGGUUUAGUUGAGGGUUGCUGAGUGGCAGCUUCUCUGCAUCUUACGGCUCAUUGAUAUGCUGCGAGCUGUAGGCACCAAUCUAUGGUGCUUGAAGUACGCAUUUGGUGCUCCUUUUGCCCAUCCAAAAGGUGCCAUCUAGAAAGGAAAUGUAUACUUGCAUGUAGUUUAGGGCACUUCAAGGCCUUCCUUGCAGACACUAUAAUGUCAGCUUAGCUGGAGCAUAGCUCUGCUAAUAGAGUGGUGGUGGGGAAUAGAAGAAAUAAUGGCAACUCAGCGGGCUGUUACAGGCGAAAGGGGGGAAUCAGAAAUCUACUAGCUGUUUCUCCUUCCAGCUGUCCUGCCAGCUCUUUGACCUUGGGGAACAGUGCCACCCACCCACAGAGCCUCACUUUUCUCCUUUGUAAUGCCAGGCUUCCAGGUUUCCAGGUCUCUCAGCUCUCCUGCUUCUGUUGUCUUUUCUAUGGUUUUUGGUGUUUGGGGUGUUUUUUGGUUUUUAUUGUUUAACUGAUUUUAAGAUUUUAAAUUAUUUGUAUGAAAAUUUAUUGUAUUUUAACUUUUGUAAACCACCCUCUGAUACUUUAUAAAAGGUGGUAUAAAAACUGAGCAAUAAAUAAAUAAAUGGCUCAAAUAUCAUACUGCAUUACUUAAACACUAUUCACACAUUGCUUUCAAUAUACAUACAGUCUGUGUACAGUGUAUACAAUCUGUGUAGAAUGUGUGUACAGACCUGUGUGCAGAUUCAUAUGCAUGUACAGUUAUUUAGAAAUUAUAUUUAUAAUUUAUUAUUUAUCUUUAUAUCCUGCCUUAUAUAAAAUCCCAAGGUGACUAACAAAAAUCAAAAGAUAAUAUGCUGAACACAGAUUACUAAAUAUUAAUAAGAGCUGGUAUCCAGAUUAAGUUACUCAGUAGUAUUAUGCAAGUGUUACUCUAAAGGACUACUUAAUUUCAAUAGGACUUCAGCUGAGUAAUUUAGUCUGGAUGUCAGACAAAAAAAAGUAACAGCAUAUUGCGACCAUAGGAAUAUAUGAUAUAACCACAUCAUCAAAUCAGCACAGCAGUCAGACCAAAGGAACAGGGGAACAGAACUGCCUUUUCUUGCCACUGAAAAGCAGACAAGUUUGGGAGGUAACAAACAGCCACAGGGAAAAUGUUCCGCAAUCUGGGGCCAGUAACAGAGAAGGCCCUGUCCCACCUGCAUGGCAACUGAGCCUCUUGUGAUGUUGGCAUGUGAAGCAGAGUGCCCUCUGCUCAUCUUGUAAGAUGGGCAAUCACUUGAGGGGAAAGGUGGUUCUUCAAAUACUUGGAGCCAAAGCCAUUAAGGGCUUUAAAGGCUAUCAGUGGCCCUUUGAAUAGGGCUCAGAAACACACAGGCAACCAGUGCAGCUCUUCAAGGAUAGGAGUAAAGUGCUCCCACAGUGUGGACCCAGGGAGAACUCUGACCGCCGUGUUUUGUUGUAGCCGAAGUUUCUGGAUACUCUUCAAGGGCAGCCUCAUGGAGAGUGCAUUGCUGUAGUCCAAGCACAACAUGACGUUCAACACAUUACGUUCAACACACGUACAGUACUACACUUUGUAUCUGUACCCUGCAUUUCAGGGGGACCACACUCAGAUUCAAUUUUAAGAUAAAUGCAUGUACAAUCAUGAACAAAAACGUGUACAUGUGUACUACAGAGGACAUCCCCCCCCCAAAUGUUGUGAUUUCCCUGUCUUAGGUUUAGUCAGUUUGACCACUCCCGAAGAACUCCAUGUUUAGCUGUAAGACUAGGCUCCAAGAGGGGCCCUGAGCCACUAUUAAAUGUUUGUAGGCUAGUAACUUUUCUGGAAUUUAGGGAGCUGCCUAAAUUCGUACUGAGCCUAUCUAGCUCAUGUUGGAAGUUCAGCUCAAAACUGUUUACAUCAACUGGCAGCAGUGCUUUAGGCUUUCAGACAAGGGUCUUUCCCAACCCCACCUGGAAAUGCCAGGGAUUGAACCUGGGACUUUCUGCAUACCAUGCAGGUGCUCUUCCACUGAGCUAUGGUCCUUCCUCAGGAUGCAUUUGACUGAUUUGCACAGCUAAGGGCUUUAUUAAAAAAGCAGACCUCCUCAAAUUGUUAAUAUGAAGUUUGACUUGGAGAUCUAGUUCAACACAGCUUUGUUUCCCAGGUGAACUUUUUUUUUCCCUUAAAGGAAAAAAGAAGUAAAACUUGAAGUGCCUGACAGCCCUGGGGAGACAACCCUUCUAUUCAUCCAUAGCUCAGCUAACAAGCAGGCAGCCAAUUCUCUCCCUACCUCUUGAAAGCAACUCAAAGCUUUGAAGCUGGCAUCACCUGUCCAGGAUGUUGACAGCCAUUCAUCUUUGCCUGUGCAGCCGCUUUGAAGUCUUCUUGUGCCUCUGUUCUUAAAAACUCCUUGGGGACCACAAUAUUAAAAGAGAAGCGUCACGAAGUAUGUUUUCUGUGAUUAUCUGUGUAAAUAUUUAAUAGUUAUGCUUUCUCCCCCACCCACUCCUUUCAGUUUGCUAACUAAUAUGAGUUUAUAUAACACAGAUCAAGAACAGAACAGAGACAAGUGUAAAGGCCUGCUGGUGUGCUGCAUGGUCAGCAUCAGGGCACACGUGUGCCCACCAUUUCCCAGCCAGUUCACUCUGGAUGGAGUAUUGGUCUUGUGGUAGCGAGCAUGAAUUGCCCCCUUUGCUAAGCAGGGUCCACCAUAGUUUGCAUUGGAAUGGGAGACUAAAUGUGUGAGCACUGUAGGAUAUUCCCCUUAGGGGAUGGGGCCAUAGCUCAGGGGAAGAGCAUACCUGUUGGGAUGCCACCUUACCUGGUUGCCGGUGUGGCCCUGUAGAGUCCAGCAGAGAGCGUGGCAUCCCUCCUUUGAGGCUUCUGUUGUCCCCUGAAGGGAGCCAGAGUGAAAUGGUUCCAGGCUGGGUGGGUCCUGGUGGGGUUGAGCAGGAGAGGCAGGGAUUGCUACAGGGAACAGCUCCAGUGGGGCAGCCAUGUUCAGCGUGGCAGGAAGCAGGAAAUGAGACCAGGGAGGGGAUGGAGCUUGGAGUAGUAGGCUUUAAGCCCUGUCAACUCUGUAUUGGGGCAUUUAAAGCCAAGGCAGCCAAUGAUGAGGGCUGCUCUUGAGCAUGGGAGUUGGAAAUUCCCCUGGAGAGGGAACUGGCUGGAUGCAGCAAGCCAGGAGGAGGGCUGAGAACCAGGAAGCUGAGAACCAGGAGGAGGGCUGAGAAGCCAGGAGGAGGGCUGAGAACCUCCUCCCCUGGUCCACUCUGAGGCUGACCUUGUCUAUUCCCAUCCUAAUUCUGGGAUCAAGAAAGGCCAGGAACACACUUCCUCCACCUUGGAGCCUUACAAUACCCAUGCAGCAAAAGGUCCUAGGUUCCCUCCCUGGCAUCUCCAAGAUAAGGCUGAGAAAGACUCCUCCCUGUAAGCAUGGAGAAGCUGCUGCCAGUCUGUGUAGACAAUACUGAGCUAGAUGGACCAAUGUUCUGACUCAGUACAUGGCAGCUUCCUAUGUCCCUAAGGUCCCACUGGCUAUGCCAAGAACAUUUGUCCAGUUCUCAGCAAGGUAUGACAUUUGCUACUUUAAUAAAGAGGGAGGAAAGAAUGAGGGGCUCACAGAGAACACUUAGCCUGCCCCUGCCCCAAACAAUUUCAGACCUUAAAGAAGAGGAACUUGAUUCAUCCCUCUUCCCUAGACUGCAGUGUCUUUCCGGGGAUAAAGAAACUAGACACCUAAACCGUUUUUCAGGCUUUCUCCUCACCUGCUGAGCCUUCACCUCUCCUCUCCCACUUCACCAGAGGAGGGAGGUUUUAUCUGUUAGCAAAGGGAAGCCAGUCCAUUUUUUGAUCACUGCUGUGAGCAGGGUUGCUUCCAGGCUGAAGCUAGCUGCUGUCAUCAUCUAGAGGAGUUUCCAGAUGGAUAAAUAUUCAGUUUUAAAAUGAAAAUUCUUACCUCUCCUGAUGAUGUCCUUGGCUGUUGCACAAUUUUACAGCGCCCUCUGCUGGCCACUUGCUGCCCAUCCAUGAUGAGAAUGAAUAACGUCUCAAAAACCUCAGCUCUCAUGGAUUGGUAGCAAAUGGCCAGCAGAUGGUACUGUGAAAUAGCACAAUAGUCAAGAAUACUAUCUGGAUGAUGAGUAGAAAAGGCAGUAAGAAUUGUUUUUCAGUUGAGUAUUUCUAGAAGAUUGAGUAUUUCUGGAAGAUGACAGAGCCUAAUGCAACAGGGUGGCAGACAAAGAAAGAAUUCUUCCUCUUUGUGAGCCAAAAUUCCAAAAGAACAUCAGGGUCACUCAAAUUUUCUAGAUAUGAUUGCAAGAGGAAAAUAAAUUCAUGACUAAUGCUUGAACAAAAGGGCCACUCUGAACACAGGUAGUACUAUUCUAUAGAGAAAUGGGAAUUGUUUGACUUCCCAUAUUUUUCCCCCAUGGCUUACCUCCGUAUAUACCAUUUAACAUCACUACAUAUGAAACAAUACUCUUACUUGUAGAGAGAUGCCACUGUAGUGCCUUGAAUGAAUGUAUAACUUCUGCUUAAAGUAAUGUUACCUGAAGACUAAAUAUAAAUGGAAGAUGGACAAAGAGGAAAACAUCCAGCUGAGCAGUAUCUACACCAGCACCACUCUUUUAAUGUUAUACAGUUUAAUUAUAUCAUGUUUAUGCUCACAACAUAGGUAAGUCACUAUUAUCCCUAUUUGACAGGUAAGCAGUUGAGGCUAAGAUACAAUGAGCCCAUUGAUAUGGGGGUGGAUGGGGGCGAGUAAAGAGCUCUUAUUCUGAUCUCCACAGAUGCAGAAUAUCCAUUGGGUCUGCAAGUCCACCACCCAGAUGAGCACAACAGCUCUGGUCUCCAUUUUUGAAAUUGGGAGCUGGGGCCUCCAAGGAUCGGAGUCUGGAUAUUUUUAAUUUUGAAUUGCUCUUUAGGUUUUUUUGUUGCUAUAAUUUCUAGAUUUUUAAUUUAAAAUAAAUAAAUAAAUAAAUAAAUCCUGUUUUAA
Long non-coding RNA from Hemicordylus capensis (graceful crag lizard), 6293 nucleotides. RefSeq lists it as uncharacterized. The record is from RefSeq and is a predicted model, not a curated record. The transcript is spliced from 2 exons. Lineage: Eukaryota; Metazoa; Chordata; Lepidosauria; Squamata; Cordylidae.